GGAGUUGUAGCUCAGUGAUAGAGCACUUGCCUCGCAUGUGUGAGGCCCUGGGUUCAAUCCUCAGCACCA
Molecule: transfer RNA, 69 nt
Filed under: Ictidomys tridecemlineatus (thirteen-lined ground squirrel)
Lineage: Eukaryota; Metazoa; Chordata; Mammalia; Rodentia; Sciuridae
Description: Spermophilus tridecemlineatus (thirteen-lined ground squirrel) tRNA
Rfam family: tRNA
About the family: Transfer RNA (tRNA) molecules are approximately 80 nucleotides in length. Their secondary structure includes four short double-helical elements and three loops (D, anti-codon, and T loops).
Source: Rfam by way of RNAcentral